CCCGUACAAGAUUUACUUCCCCUGUUUUGUAUACAAUCUUCUCUUUGAUCGAGAAACCGCUCCGUAGUUAUCCCUUCUCUCUCUAUAUUAUUCGGUCUUGUCCAAUUUAUGAAUCCGGAAUUAUCAAACACUUCAAAACGAAUUAGGUUUUUCAUAUGAGUAACAAGGUUGACAAUUCCAAGUGGUACCAAGAUGAAGAGUACAUUCUGGGAUUCAUACCUGGGCCACAUUAUGCCAAUGCAGAUUCUCAUAUUGUUCCAUUGUUAUUAGCCCAGAAUUCUCUGAAGUGUAUAGCUUCUUUGGAAGUGUUUUUGAUCUAGAGACUAAAGGGCAUGUACAGAAACUAAAGGAGAUGGAUCCUAUAAAUUUUGAAACAGUCAUAUUAUUAAUGUGAAAUCUCAGUCAACUGGUCAAAUCCCGAGUUUUAGCCAAUGGUUUGAUCGUGACUAAAAGAAAAUCAAAGACUUUAUUGGUUCCAAGACAGUCAUUCAGGUGCAUAAGUAAAUCGAUGGUAAUCAAGAUGGCCUUCUAAACCUCCCGGGUGAAGCAUCAGCAGUAAGAUCUGGGGUUAGCUCAGGGACAUUGGGUCAACAUGCAUCAAUGUCACUUCGAAGUGUGAGAGACGUACUGACAUCAGCACUUCAGCAGAGAAGCAGAUUGCUUACCAGUUACCACAUUACUGGUGCAUUGCGCCAAUACUUCAGAGCACACCUCCUAUUGCUUGUGGAUUCAAUUCAUCCUAGCAAGAAUGUUCGAAGUGUGGCACGGAACAUUUCAAGUUCCAGGACAGCAUGCAAGCCACUUGAUAUUAGCAAAAAGGCUGUGAAUACUGUAUAAUGUCAUACAGAAAGAUCAAAAGCUUGGUCCUGCAUUUGUGAGAGCUCGUUGGCCUGCCGUUGAUAAGUUCUUGAAUUGCAAGGGGCAUGUUACCAUGUUGGAGUUGUGUCAGCUGUUUUUAUUUUCACCACAAUUUCUAUAUCAUCUUUUCCACUGUCAAAUGCUUUCCUUAUAUUGGUUUUCUUUUUAGGCCCAUCCGGUUGAGCGCAACUUGCAUGAUUUGCUUCUAUAAGCACUGGGUUUUAUUGUGAAUUGUGUUCAAAACUUUAGCGUUUCAGUUUA
Long non-coding RNA from Erigeron canadensis, 1119 nucleotides. RefSeq lists it as uncharacterized. Lineage: Eukaryota; Viridiplantae; Streptophyta; Magnoliopsida; Asterales; Asteraceae. The record is from RefSeq and is a predicted model, not a curated record. The transcript has 6 exons.